AAUUUGAUAGUGAAUUUUCAAUAUAAUUGUUUAUUCAAAAUAAACGACGUAUUUUUAUCUUGAUUGAUUGACGUUAUGGGUUUUACCAAAUUUUCCUGUUAGAUAAUUUUUUUUACACUGUUGUUUAACAAUGUCGAAUUUAAACACAAAUUAUAUUAUUUAAUUAAGGAUUCACUUAUAGGUCCGUUAAUAAAACUCGAAAUUCUAAUCAGUUUUUUAAAUAACAUAGUUUACUCAUUAGUACACAAUCAAAGUUGAUGAUGAACUAUGAACUAUGUAAACCUAAUAUGUAGAUAACUAACUUGUUUCUAAUGUACGCAAUAUAUAUCUUUCUCAUUUUAUUUACCGGAUAAAAAGAAAAAACUAUAUAGAGAUACAGAAUAAACCACAACCCAAGAACUGAUUAGGUUUAUACCUGGGAAUAAUCGAAAGAAAAUAACUGAAUUGAACACAAUAAAAAGUAUAUUUUAUUAUUUUCAAGUACCAAUACUAUAUAAACAAUGGCUAGUAAAAAUGAAACUCCAAUACACGUUAAGAACACUAAUAAAGUUGAAUUUGAUCUUGGUGUGAAACAAGCCCAAUCACAGCGUGGAAAUUUUGCUCAGGUCAAGCUCAACGUUAAUUUAGAUUGGGGAGAAAAACCCUUGAGAAGUUUUUGGAUUCUGCAUUGCAAGGAAGAGCUUCACAAAAAAUAUGAAUUAUAAAAAUAUAAAACGAACUGCGAGCAAAAAGCUGGCAAUUCGCCUCGUAAAAAUGUCCCCAAAACCCCUAAGGCCAUUAUCGAUGUACCAGAUCCCAAAUUCUUAUUGAAAUAGCAGCAGAUGAUAAUAAAACAACAACAAAAUAUGCUGGCUGCAACACAAAAACAACUAGCUACUGAACCUCCAAAACCAGCUCAGGCACAACGACAAGCAUCUAGAGGAAAAGGAGCACAAUCAAAACUUGUACUUAAGGUUAAGUUAGAAAAAUGAUUCGUUUCAACAUGACUUACGUUUAGAUAUUCAAUUUCUAAAACACAGAAAUUAUUAUUUAUAUGAAUAGUGAACUAUUUUUUCAAAAAAUUAUAGUUAAAAUUACUUUAAUCUAUUUUUGUAGGAUGUUUUUCCAUUCUAAAGUUAUACUUUUUAUUUUCAAAGCGCUACACUCAUAUUCAAGGAAUAAUUUUGAUAUCCAAAGUAACCUCUUAUUCUGAGGUUCAUUUACUUUAUCGUUUUCCUUUUUUUGUUUGCAUUUGUUAUUAGUCUACUUUAUUGCUAUUUAUUUAAAUAAUGUUAACCACCAACUACUAUAACUUGCACUGUUUGGUUCUUCGUAUAGGUUCAUAUCCGGCUCGAAGGACCAAAUAGUGUAAUUAUAGUAAGAAUUUUAUUCACUAUAAAUGUUAUCAACAGUUCCACAAAUGUUAACUUAACAUUACAUAUAUUACAGGAAUUAUAGAUUAUAACAUGGAAUUUUAGCUAACAACCACUGAAAGUAGGAAAAAAAUGUGAAGCCACAAAAAUUACGGGGUUUAUUUUCUUUGACAAUAAUUUUUGACGGGUUAUCGUCAUUAAUGUUUUUAGAUUAGGUAGUUGGCAUUACAGAACCAAGAGGGACGACUGCGGGUGCGUUUCCGACUCGGAAAGCGACAGAUAAGUGUACAGUGCUGUCAAAUUUUUUAAAAACUGUGCUCUUUUGAGUUUACUGGCCAACAAUGUGUUGUCUGUACCUCUUCCGACAGUAUUCAUGGAGUCGCACUGAUUCCUCACAUUCGAGAGCUUCACUUUCACAAGGGUGUCUAACCCACGGGUAACACAACUUAUUUUUAACAAGGAGGAGGAGGAAUCCCUUACAAACGGACACAAAAUGCAACGAUCCUUAAUUGCAAUCACUGUAAAAACACAAACGAAACAUGAUAGACAUCUAGCCACUUAUCCGCGGAGACUCAUGGCUCGACCUAUCUCCACUCCCGCCGCUCUCCUUGUUUCGCACCGCAAGGAGUCUCUCCUUUCCUCGUGUUAGACACAAUAAUGGGAUUGUGUACUGAUGAUUUUAAAACGUUUAUGAAGUUCUGACAACUCUAUGAGAUCAAAUUUAUUGAAAUUAAAAUAGAAAAUAAUUAUCCUACUUAUUAAUAAAUAAUUUUUAUUGUUAUUGUCCCAUAGAAUAAAGUCAAUAAUAAAAAUAACAUAUAAAUAGAAUAAUAAUAUUGUUGUAACAAAAUGUAUAAAUUUUGAAUAAAUAAAAAAUACGUUGAUGAAUGAA
Long non-coding RNA from Diorhabda sublineata, 2244 nucleotides. RefSeq lists it as uncharacterized. The transcript is spliced from 3 exons. The record is from RefSeq and is a predicted model, not a curated record. NCBI's taxonomy places the organism in Eukaryota, Metazoa, Arthropoda, Insecta, Coleoptera, Chrysomelidae.